UGGGGCUCUGGGGAGUGCUGGAAUCUGGGUCUUGGGUACAACCACCCAGACACCAGAUGGGCUGGGAGCAGCUGAUGUGGCACAGAGGGUUUGUCUUCCUUCCUUCUUGCUUUUCCCAAGGAUGCAGUGCUGGAGCAGCCCCUCUCACACAGCCUUGUGCCUGGAAAGGAAAAGGAAGGAGAAGAGGAAGCAAAACUGCGACAGGAGGGAAUCAGACCAUGGACAUGUUGGAAGCUGGAAUAUACAUCCUGCAUUACAAAGUGCAAAAUACUACAUGCUCAGAGCCCAAGCAUGAUGUCUGAAACAGUCCACAGCAAGAUGUAAGAGACAAACCCACCACCCUCC
Long non-coding RNA from Pyrgilauda ruficollis (rufous-necked snowfinch), 345 nucleotides. RefSeq lists it as uncharacterized. The record is from RefSeq and is a predicted model, not a curated record. The transcript is spliced from 3 exons. NCBI's taxonomy places the organism in Eukaryota, Metazoa, Chordata, Aves, Passeriformes, Passeridae.